RNAcentral lists this ribosomal RNA (753 nucleotides) under Triticum aestivum (bread wheat). RNAcentral's name for it is "partial small subunit ribosomal RNA". Lineage: Eukaryota; Viridiplantae; Streptophyta; Magnoliopsida; Poales; Poaceae. The record is from RNAcentral.
AUGAACAUCGCCUUGCUGACCAGAUGGCUCUGGAGGAUUGCCAAUGGUGAUGGUGGUCUUUGGCUUGACAUCAUUAGAAACAAAUACCUUCAGGGCCAGCCGCUCGCCUUUUGUCAAUGCUCCAGAGGGUCGCAGUUCUGGCAGUCUAUCAUUCAGCUGCUUCCGGUCCUCCAUAUUGGCUCGUCCAUCUUGAUCUGUUCCUGUUCUGCUACGUUGUUCUGGUACGAUAGGUGGGCGGGUGAAGUCCCAUUUGCCGCCCGAUUCCCGGACUUAUUCUCCGUCGCGAUGGAGCCUAGGAUCUCUGUCGAGGUCGCCCUUUCGGAUCUAGGGCGCCUCACGUUCCGUCGCCCCUUCGGUCCCCCAGAUGUUGCUGCCUAGGAUGAGAUGCUCGAGUGCAUCUCCCUCCACACCCCCAACGUUGACACAGUCUGGGAUCGCAUAUCUUGACGCCUGGAGCCCUCGGGACAUUUCUCCACUAGGUCCCUGUACCAGGCCAUCGCCCCAUCGAUGGCCCCGGCGGCUAUCAUUGUUGUCUGGGCCAUCAAACUGCCGCUCAAGAUCAAGAUAUUCUUGUGGCAAUGGAUUAGGGGUCGGGUACCUUCUGGGGUGGAGGUGCUCAAACGUAAUGGCCCUGGAGACGGGAUGUGUCCCCUCGGUGGUACGGUGGAAGACUCAAACCACAUAUUCUUUGCAUGUGUUAUGGCCCAAUUCCUUUGGAGUUGUUUUCGCGAAGUCGUUGGCGGUCAUUGGUGA